This 921-nucleotide ribosomal RNA is filed under the name uncultured bacterium. RNAcentral describes it as "bacterial SSU rRNA". It matches the Rfam family "Bacterial small subunit ribosomal RNA", at positions 10 to 913 of the family's 1533-position model. The record is from RNAcentral.
AGUUUGAUCCUGGCUCAGGACGAACGCUGGCGGCGUGCCUAAUACAUGCAAGUAGAACGCUGAAGACUUUAGCUUGCUAAAGUUGGAAGAGUUGCGAACGGGUGAGUAACGCGUAGGUAACCUGCCUACUAGCGGGGGAUAACUAUUGGAAACGAUAGCUAAUACCGCAUAACAGCAUUUAACCCAUGUUAGAUGCUUGAAAGGAGCAAUUGCUUCACUAGUAGAUGGACCUGCGUUGUAUUAGCUAGUUGGUGAGGUAACGGCUCACCAAGGCGACGAUACAUAGCCGACCUGAGAGGGUGAUCGGCCACACUGGGACUGAGACACGGCCCAGACUCCUACGGGAGGCAGCAGUAGGGAAUCUUCGGCAAUGGGGGCAACCCUGACCGAGCAACGCCGCGUGAGUGAAGAAGGUUUUCGGAUCGUAAAGCUCUGUUGUAAGAGAAGAACGUGUGUGAGAGUGGAAAGUUCACACAGUGACGGUAACUUACCAGAAAGGGACGGCUAACUACGUGCCAGCAGCCGCGGUAAUACGUAGGUCCCGAGCGUUGUCCGGAUUUAUUGGGCGUAAAGCGAGCGCAGGCGGUUUAAUAAGUCUGAAGUUAAAGGCAGUGGCUUAACCAUUGUUCGCUUUGGAAACUGUUAGACUUGAGUGCAGAAGGGGAGAGUGGAAUUCCAUGUGUAGCGGUGAAAUGCGUAGAUAUAUGGAGGAACACCGGUGGCGAAAGCGGCUCUCUGGUCUGUAACUGACGCUGAGGCUCGAAAGCGUGGGGAGCAAACAGGAUUAGAUACCCUGGUAGUCCACGCCGUAAACGAUGAGUGCUAGGUGUUAGGCCCUUUCCGGGGCUUAGUGCCGCAGCUAACGCAUUAAGCACUCCGCCUGGGGAGUACGACCGCAAGGUUGAAACUCAAAGGAAUUGA